RNAcentral lists this ribosomal RNA (831 nucleotides) under Didymosphaeria rubi-ulmifolii. RNAcentral describes it as "partial large subunit ribosomal RNA". It matches the Rfam family "Eukaryotic large subunit ribosomal RNA", at positions 74 to 922 of the family's 3401-position model. Lineage: Eukaryota; Fungi; Ascomycota; Dothideomycetes; Pleosporales; Didymosphaeriaceae. The record is from RNAcentral.
AUUGCCCUAGUAACGGCGAGUGAAGCGGCAACAGCUCAAAUUUGAAAUCUGGCUCUCUUUGGGGGUCCGAGUUGUAAUUUGCAGAGGAUGCUUUGGCAUUGGCGGCGGUCUAAGUUCCUUGGAACAGGACAUCACAGAGGGUGAGAAUCCCGUACGUGGUCGCCUGCCUUUGCCGUGUAAAGCUCCUUCGACGAGUCGAGUUGUUUGGGAAUGCAGCUCUAAAUGGGAGGUAAAUUUCUUCUAAAGCUAAAUACCGGCCAGAGACCGAUAGCGCACAAGUAGAGUGAUCGAAAGAUGAAAAGUACUUUGGAAAGAGAGUCAAAAAGCACGUGAAAUUGUUGAAAGGGAAGCGCUUGCAGCCAGACUUGCCCGCAGUUGCUCACCUAGGCUUUGGCCUGGGGCACUCUUCUGCGGGCAGGCCAGCAUCAGUUUGGGCGGUUGGAUAAAGGCCUCUGUCACGUAUCUUCCUUCGGGAUGACCUUAUAGGGGAGGCGUAAUGCAACCAGCCCGGACUGAGGUCCGCGCAUCUGCUAGGAUGCUGGCGUAAUGGCUGUAAGCGGCCCGUCUUGAAACACGGACCAAGGAGUCUAACAUCUAUGCGAGUGUUUGGGUGUCAAGCCCGGGCGCGCAAUGAAAGUGAACGGAGGUGGGAACCCUUUGGGUGCACCAUCGACCGAUCCUGAUGUCUUCGGAUGGAUUUGAGUAAGAGCAUAGCUGUUGGGACCCGAAAGAUGGUGAACUAUGCUUGAAUAGGGUGAAGCCAGAGGAAACUCUGGUGGAGGCUCGCAGCGGUUCUGACGUGCAAAUCGAUCGUCAAAUUUGGGCAUAGGG